AGCCUUCUGUAUCCGUGCUGAGAUUUCGUCAGCGAGCAACCUAGUGGGGCGGAUGACACUUCUCAAAUAAGUUAAGUA
This 78-nucleotide microRNA precursor is filed under the name Trichobilharzia regenti. RNAcentral describes it as "mir-3492 microRNA precursor family". It matches the Rfam family "mir-3492 microRNA precursor family". Lineage: Eukaryota; Metazoa; Platyhelminthes; Trematoda; Strigeidida; Schistosomatidae. The record is from Rfam by way of RNAcentral.